This 301-nucleotide ribosomal RNA is filed under the name uncultured bacterium. Its description in RNAcentral is "partial 16S ribosomal RNA". It matches the Rfam family "Bacterial small subunit ribosomal RNA", at positions 509 to 807 of the family's 1533-position model. The record is from RNAcentral.
CAGUCGCCGCGGGAAUACGUAGGUGGCAAGCGUUGUCCGGAAUUAUUGGGCGUAAAGGGCUCGCAGGCGGUUUCUUAAGUCUGAUGUGAAAGCCCCCGGCUCAACCGGGGAGGGUCAUUGGAAACUGGGAAACUUGAGUGCAGAAGAGGAGAGUGGAAUUCCACGUGUAGCGGUGAAAUGCGUAGAGAUGUGGAGGAACACCAGUGGCGAAGGCGACUCUCUGGUCUGUAACUGACGCUGAGGAGCGAAAGCGUGGGGAGCGAACAGGAUUAGAUACUCCAGUAGUCCCUGUCUCUUAUAC